CUUCACUUUUCUCUGGUGUUAAAUAGUCCAAGGAAACAAUCAGCAGACUAAUUUAUAAUAACAAUAACCAUCUGCUGAGGCUUAAGUGUGAUUCAGAAUUAUUUAACUUAACUGCGUAUUGUAAAAAUACUUUAAGAUCCAGCCAACUGGGAACAGGAGUCAGAAGGGAACAUGCUAUUGAAACCACACUCGGAUUUCCAUGUUUGGCCCCAGAGUCAAGUUCGAAGGUUGACAUCCAUUGUGUGUCCAGUACACAGAUGGGUCUGGGAUGUUGUCGGCACACUUGUGCACAAAGACUGGCGGCACGGGGAAAUUGCCAGCCAAGCAUAAUCAGAAGUUAAACAAUACUUCACCUUCUACCAGUUCAAAACCUUUCUUAAAUAUGUGUGUCUUGUUUAGAGAGAACGGUCAACACCAGAACCUGACCAAUGCAUCCUGGGUUGAUGUUUGCUCACUUAUUGCAGCCGGUCUGGCCACGUGUCGAUGUUGGUGCAUGUGAGUCCCUUGUGGCUGGCUAAUGGCCGCUCUGCACUGCGCUCAUACGGUGGUUGCCGCUGAUAGCGCUGACCUGACACGCAGUGUUGUCAUGGAACCCUCGCGGCCCCCCUCUGGUUCCCCCUCUGGUUCCCCCUCUGGUUCCCCCUCAGGUUAACACUUUGCUCUUGUCAGCAUUGCUGCCGUAGUUUGCACUGUUUUUGCUGUAACUGUAGUGCCGUUAGCUGCCGGCUCAGCCAUCGCCAUGUUGACAUCUGUGUUUUAAAUUAUAUAUUAUUAUGAAAAAAUAACAUUAAAAUGUAUCGUUGAAGCUAUAAUGACACAGAAUCCAAUAAUGCAUUUGAUGUUAUUAGAGAGCAAUGCUUCCUGGUUUAUAAUAUCCAAUAGUGCUCUCUUGUAGCUCACAUGCUGUAUUUUAAGCUUCUUGCUGGAUAUUCAUCCAUAGACUGGCAUUAAUUAAAAAUAUAGGGAAAUAGUUGGUCAGAUUAUUACAAUUAUUUAAACAUGUUCGCAGCAUUUAUGUGCAUAGUCUUGAUUGACAUGUUGGGAAAUAGGCUUUUACGUCCGUAAAUGAAGCUCCCGCCUGCUUCCGCAUAGCAUAAUGGUAACUUCCUGAAGUCUCUGCUUGUUGCCUGGCAACAGUGAUAGGUCUGACUCAUACAAGUUAUUGCGCUCGGCAAAAAAGUGAAGCAUAUACUGAUCUAUAAAGCCUCAGCUUGUCAUUUUUAACUUCAGUUUGUGUAGUGAUUAGUGAGCUUCAGAGGCGCUGCUGGAAGGAUUGUUAUCGGUGCACUCGGGCUGCUCAAAGUGUCAAUCAUCUGUGUCAUCAGUCAACAAGCAGCUGAGCUGAACUACCUUUUUUCAGUGAAAUUACUUUACGUCAAAAUAAACAAUGAACACUGAGAAAUGCAGGACGACAGCAGAGCAGACUAUACACGUUUGUAAGUCAUGGUCAUAUGAGCUGAAACAGAAGAUGGACAGCUCUCAGGUGUAUUACUCUUUCUACAGGAAGCAACACUUGGUACAGAGUGUACACCUUAGGUGGACGUGUGUUUCGAAUGCUAUCCACACAUCUCACACUCUUCUUAUAGAUUAAGCAAAUAUGUCGAAAUAGUCUCAUGUAAAUAAUAAUAAAUGAUAUUAUUCCCUUCAUUGUGGAAUCUAAAGAUUAUUCAAAAUGAUCGCGUUCAGCUGAAAUAAUUGAGAUCAGGCAUCUUUUGUUGAAGAAAGGUGUUUAGACAAAAUGUCAACAAUCAGCAGCCAUGUUGAAAGUGAAGCACAUGUGUGAUUCCCAUUCAACAGAGCUGCAGUUUUGAUGUAAAUGUAGAUUUGACCUGUAAUGACCCUGUGCUGACUCACCGUGUCAGUCAGGGCAGCAGGCCCACGUACCUCCCAAUAUGCUCCAGUUGUUGGGAUGUAGAGAAGUAACAGAGUAUGUUCUGCUUGUUGUUCCUUUACCUGCAUGCAAAUCCAAAAAGACAUGCAAAUAUAUGAAUCUUUUAGUAAUAUUACGCAAUGUUUCAUAGAUUAAAACCCCAACGUGUGACGAGUAAUGUUCAGUUACAUGAAUCUAAGAUUAAAUAGUUGUUUGAUAGGAAUACGUUUUAAUAGUUUCCAUGAGUCCUGUAGACAAUUUGAGUAUAUGUAUAUAGAUGGUUGCAGUAUAAUAAUGAAUAAUAUUGGUAUUUGAUUUUAAACCUUUUUAAAUGGACCCAUAGUUCAGUGAAGUUCUAGCUCAUUUGAAAAAAAAGACAUUUGAAAAAGGUCCAGUAGGUGGCGAUAUUUCCUUCAAAUUGAACACUGGGAUCUGCAGUAUGAGCUACAAUCCCCAUGGCUCUCUGUCACUGAAGUAUUAGUAAUGGUUAAAGGUUGGGUCCAAGUGUUGUCACAAUACAAACAUAUUUCCUAACAUCUAUUUGUGGGCAAAUGGACAAAACAAGGUGAGUUCCAUAUGUUCAACUGACUGACUGAAUAUUUGAUAGAAUUGUAGCAAAUGUGUCUGGAUUUGGCCUUAUGGACAUUGGUAACAUAACUUUGUCAACAGAAGUCACAUGUGCAGAGUGUUUCACUGGAGUGCUGGACGUUGACCUGCAGCUGUAUUUAACAUAGAGAAUUUAACAUACAUCAUUGUACAUCACUGCAUUAAAACCUUUGUGUCAUUCUAUUGCAAUUGAAUUAGGUGUAAUUGUAACAAUCAACAACAACACUAAUUAUGAUAAUGACAAAAUAGCAGUGUAUUAUGAAUUACACAGACAUUUAGUCAGACAUGCUUCAGAGAUUACACACAAACACAAGUCCAUCCAGAGUAGGACAAACUGAAAACUGUUCUCAUGGCUAUAGCGUUAGCCACUCAUCAGGGAUAUUGGUCAGCACACUUUCAACAAUUCGUUCUAGGAAGGAACAGUUACCCAGAUAGAUUCAGGUCCAGAUAUUUGAAUGUGCACUCCACCAAGUGGACUGAAUCAUGUGGCAUCAUGACAUAAAGCAGUGGUGUGUCAGUUGAAGAACAAUCAAUCAAAUCCGGGGGAAUAACGAAUAGCUAAUCAGUGCCACAGUCGGGACUAACCUCAUUGUCAAGCUUGUCGCCAUGUCUUCUCAAUAUCGCCUCUACUGCAUUUAAAAACCCCACAAAAGCUGUAUGUUGGCAUAGCGACGCAUCACUGUCGACUUAGUGAUUGAUGUUGACUGAGGGAAGACGCAGUAUGUAGCUCUCUAGUGAUUGGUUAGGAGAAAUGUAAUUCCCCUCCUCCUGAGAUGUCCUCACAGACCAUCACAACCCACUGUCCCCUGGACCUUUGUUCAGAAGUAAACGUACAGAUGUAGCCAUUUCUUAUUUUAAGUACCCCAAAAUUAUAAAGGAACAAUAAAUAAAAUCUCAUCAGAAUUAUUAAGUGAUGCAGAUGUCAUAACUUCAUCUUCCCCGAAACGUCUUAUGGACGUACAUACCCUGUAAUAGAAUCGAUACCGAAUGGGUAAAUAAUAACUAGCUACAGGAUAAGUUCUUUGUAAAGGCCCUGACACACAGUGCUGUAUGGCAGAAACGUAUGCUGGCGCAUAUGAAAAUUAGCAUAUACAACGCUUAUGAAUGUAUACAGAGCCUAUUGAUAGCGUAUCACAUACUUAAACAAAAUGUAUUCCUUCGGUGUAUGGCGGAAACGUAUGCCGGUGUUUACAGAAUAUUGUGAAUUUUUUGACAGGGCCUUUAGAUCCUGAAUUUUUACCCCCUCAUUCCAAAACAUCUUGUUCCCCAGAACCUGUAUACAUGUACCGAUAGGUACUAGUACAUUGUUAGUACAAAAGAUUACACUGUAACUAUGAAGUAAUUAUGCUGUAUGUUGCUGACUGUAAUUUAAAGCGCUACCAAACCGAUAUUUAGACUCACAAUACAUACAAUAUAAACAGAAGCAAAGUAUAUAAAAAUGUACAGAAAUUUAAGUUGGAUAACCAUUGUUUAGUAUUUUAGGUCAGACUACGUGAGGUUGAAUGCUGAUGUGAAGAGAUGUGUUUUGAGGUUACUUUUAUAUGAGUCAACCUCUCAAAUGUGGGGAGAAGAGGGGCUUGCUAGGAGAAGACCCUGCCACCUACGACUUGUUUUGCACUAACCGGCUCAUGCAUCAGCUGAACAUGACAGUCAAGAGAACAUGCUUUUCCACAUGAGUCAAGAAAAGAGUCAGUGGUCAUAUCGGUGACAGAGGUUUGGAGGUGAGUGAGCUACAUGGCAACAUUUCCGAGCGUUUUACCACCAUAAAACCUUCCUGGUUACAAAGCAUUACAUCCCUAACCAGAAGGAUUUAUUCAAGUGGCCAUAUCGCAAAG
Cottoperca gobio is the source of this 4311-nucleotide long non-coding RNA. The record is from Ensembl. Lineage: Eukaryota; Metazoa; Chordata; Actinopteri; Perciformes; Bovichtidae.